This 694-nucleotide small RNA is filed under the name Pan troglodytes (chimpanzee). RNAcentral describes it as "retained intron". The record is from RNAcentral. Lineage: Eukaryota; Metazoa; Chordata; Mammalia; Primates; Hominidae.
CUGUCCGAGGACUAAAAAGAAUUGAUCCCAACUACAGAUUUCCAACGUGCAAAGGUUUCUUCAAUAUUUAUCACCCUUUUGAUCCUGUGGCCUAUAGGAUUGAACCAAUGGUGGUCCCAGGAGUGGAAUUUGAGCCAAUGCUGAUCCCACAUCAUAAAGGCAGGAAGCGGAUGCACUUAGAACUGAGAGAGGGCUUGACCAGGAUGAGUAUGGACCUUAAGAACAACUUGCUAGGUUCGCUGCGGAUGGCCUGGAAGUCUUUUACCAGAGCUCCAUACCCUGCCUUACAAGCUUCAGAAACACCAGAAGAAACUGAAGCAGAACCUGAAUCAACUUCAGAGAAGCCUAGUGGUCAGUGACACUGUACACAUUGACCAGCUGCCAGAUAAGAGGGAUGCCAUGGUGUGGCAUUUUUCAUAGUUAAUUUAAUUUCACAUUUAAUUUCAUAGUUAAUAUUGCAUUCUUUUGCUUUAGUUUUCAACUUCUAAAGAGCUCUAUUCCUGCUUGCAUUUAGUAUAAACCCAAGGCAAAUGACCUAGCUAUCAAUGGUAUAGGUAAUGAGAUGUGUUGCACAAAAGCAAAAAAGGGGAUUGGACAAAAUUACUGUGACCUGAGAAGGAGCUUGAAGGAGAUUGAGAGGAGGAAGAUGGGAGAGAGCUCUCUGAACAGAGAGUAGCUCAUUCUGUGGUAAACU